CCUACGGGUGGCAGCAGUGGGGAAUCUUGCGCAAUGGCCGAAAGGCUGACGCAGCGACGCCGCGUGGAGGAUGACGCCCUUCGGGGUGUAAACUCCUGUUGCCCGGGACGAAUGCCCCUUUUGAGGGGAGUGACGGUACCGGGUGAGGAAGCACCGGCUAACUCUGUGCCAGCAGCCGCGGUAAUACAGAGGGUGCGAGCGUUGUCCGGAAUCACUGGGCGGCGAGGGCGCGUAGCCGGCUCGGUAAGCGGAAAGCCCGGGGCUCAACCCCGGGUCGGCCAUGCGAACUGUCGAGCUGGAGCACGGUAGAGGCACAUGGAAUUCCGGGUGUAGCGGUGGAAUGCGUAGAGAUCCGGAAGAACACCGGUGGCGAAGGCGGUGUGCUGGGCCGUAGCUGACGCUGAGGCGCGACAGCGUGGGGAGCAAACAGGAUUAGAUACCCUGGUAGUC
RNAcentral lists this ribosomal RNA (450 nucleotides) under uncultured bacterium. RNAcentral describes it as "partial 16S ribosomal RNA". It matches the Rfam family "Bacterial small subunit ribosomal RNA", at positions 338 to 795 of the family's 1533-position model. The record is from RNAcentral.